GAGACCUUGGUUUAAUAGGUAGAGCACCUAAUUGUCAAUUAGGAGGGCGUCAGUUCGAGUCUGACAGGUCUCG
This 73-nucleotide transfer RNA is filed under the name Coniophora puteana. RNAcentral's name for it is "tRNA-Asp". It matches the Rfam family "tRNA". From Rfam's summary of the family: Transfer RNA (tRNA) molecules are approximately 80 nucleotides in length. Their secondary structure includes four short double-helical elements and three loops (D, anti-codon, and T loops). Further hydrogen bonds mediate the characteristic L-shaped molecular structure. tRNAs have two regions of fundamental functional importance: the anti-codon, which is responsible for specific mRNA codon recognition, and the 3' end, to which the tRNAs corresponding amino acid is attached (by aminoacyl-tRNA synthetases). tRNAs cope with the degeneracy of the genetic code in two manners: having more than one tRNA (with a specific anti-codon) for a particular amino acid; and 'wobble' base-pairing, i.e. permitting non-standard base-pairing at the 3rd anti-codon position. The record is from RNAcentral. Lineage: Eukaryota; Fungi; Basidiomycota; Agaricomycetes; Boletales; Coniophoraceae. RNAcentral also lists the same sequence under 1 other name.